RNAcentral lists this ribosomal RNA (628 nucleotides) under uncultured bacterium. RNAcentral describes it as "bacterial SSU rRNA". It matches the Rfam family "Bacterial small subunit ribosomal RNA", at positions 56 to 730 of the family's 1533-position model. The record is from RNAcentral.
UGCAAGUCGAACGAAGGCUUCGGCCUUAGUGGCGCACGGGUGCGUAACGCGUGGGAAUCUGCCCUUGGGUUCGGAAUAACAGUUGGAAACGACUGCUAAUACCGGAUGAUGUCGCGAGACCAAAGAUUUAUCGCCCAGGGAUGAGCCCGCGUCGGAUUAGGUAGUUGGUGGGGUAAAGGCCUACCAAGCCGACGAUCCGUAGCUGGUCUGAGAGGAUGAUCAGCCACACUGGGACUGAGACACGGCCCAGACUCCUACGGGAGGCAGCAGUGGGGAAUAUUGGACAAUGGGCGAAAGCCUGAUCCAGCAAUGCCGCGUGAGUGAUGAAGGCCUUAGGGUUGUAAAGCUCUUUUGCCCGGGAUGAUAAUGACAGUACCGGGAGAAUAAGCUCCGGCUAACUCCGUGCCAGCAGCCGCGGUAAUACGGAGGGAGCUAGCGUUGUUCGGAAUUACUGGGCGUAAAGCGCACGUAGGCGGCUUUGUAAGUCAGGGGUGAAAGCCUGGAGCUCAACUCCAGAACUGCCUUUGAGACUGCAUCGCUUGAAUCCGGGAGAGGUGAGUGGAAUUCCGAGUGUAGAGGUGAAAUUCGUAGAUAUUCGGAAGAACACCAGUGGCGAAGGCGGCUCACU